CUUUUUUUCACUGCAAGUGAAGUUGCGUAGGUUUGUGACAACUUAGCCAAGCAGUAAUUGAUUUUACACAAUUUUUGGUCAAUUCGCAAACCAGAAAAAUUUGGCCAGGGAAAGGGAAUUUGUGAAAAUUUUCACGCAGGUCCAAGUUGUACUAACAUAAAGGUGACUCUCAAGUACCCUGCAUUCUGCAUAAUUUGAUGUAAGGAAAGUGGGGGCUUUAGGCUUUAUCAUGCCUUCUAACUACAUAAAUGACAGGACCGAACCUCGCAUGGAGGACAUGAGGAAAG
Non-coding RNA from Pelobates cultripes (western spadefoot toad), 287 nucleotides. The record is from the annotation of a GenBank genome assembly. NCBI's taxonomy places the organism in Eukaryota, Metazoa, Chordata, Amphibia, Anura, Pelobatidae.